RNAcentral lists this long non-coding RNA (1263 nucleotides) under Theobroma cacao (cacao). RNAcentral's name for it is "long non-coding RNA (TCAC_LNC004565)". Lineage: Eukaryota; Viridiplantae; Streptophyta; Magnoliopsida; Malvales; Malvaceae. The record is from RNAcentral.
CGAGUGCAAAACACAUAUUUCAUAAUCAAAAAUAAGUUUAGAUGUCUAAAACAUUCAUUUAAGGUGAAAUUAUGACUAUUUGAAUAUAAUAAAAAUAUUCAAUAAAAUAUUCUAUUUUCUUAUAAAACAAUUUUUAUAGAGUUAUUUGUUAGAAAUUUUUAUAGCAUAAAAGCGAAAUAAAUUCAUACAUAUUGUAAUACAGAUAGUCAAGGUAUGUAAUUUAAUUUACAAUGACACGUGGGCCCCCAAAUGACUAAAAGUAAUGAAGGUUGUGAACCUACAGUUUUUGAGGAUACAAGUCCAGCUAUAGCCCUAAACGAAAUGAGCUAUCUACCGACUAUCCUGAGCCUGAAAUGGGUGGAAAGGAGGGUGAUGAGAUUAUAUAAUCCUAGUGAGUAAACAAAUAUCAUCUAAAAUAUCUAAAGCUGAGUAAAUGGAGACAGAUAAAAUAGAUUAGCAUAAAAAUGAUUCACAGCAUUUUGAACUCAUUUUAAUAAGAUAAAAUAGAUUCAUUUCACACAAAUAAACAACAAGGCUUAUGAUUUCUUGAAAAGCUUGGCUCGUGCCAAAAUCAUUCUCAUACUCGGUUGUCAGGGAUACCUUGGCCUGGAGCUAUCCCAACCGAGUCUGCCAAGGCUGUUAAAAAAGUCAUGUACGCAUAAAUCAUGUUUUUAUUUUGAAACAUAGUCGUUCCUUGGCGUUGGCUGAGUUCACCUUCACGUGGUGGUUUGGGGUGAAGUGAACUCUAAAGUUUUACCUUAGGAGUUAACCUAAGCGCUUCUUGUACCGAGGUAAAAUAUAACAGGGUUACCGUACCCCUCUAAUAGGCUGGUCCACAGAAACCCACCACUGUAGUGACUAAUCUAUAACCCACCAAUUUAAUAAAAAUUUUGACAGCAUGACAUGGCAAUUUUAUCAUUAUCAAGCCUAUCAAGGCAAACAACAGUUUAUACAUUUUCAAUACAAAUACCCAUCUAGCCAUUCAUGCCCACAUUAUCAUAAGCCAUUUAAUUCAAAACAUAAUUUACAAUACAGCAAGUAGUCUCCAAUUACUCCAUUUUCAAGUCAUCAUUAAAUUUCAAAAUAAUUUAUAAAAUCAUUUCAUUUAAACACAUUUUUCAUAAAAUUACAAAAUCGGAUAAAAAAAUACUUUAGAUAAUUAAGACGAUAAUAAGGUUACUCACUAUAAUGGGAAUUGAGUUCCGAGUACUCCGAUUCUUAAUCCUCGGGUACUAUCUCUUUACUUUUGCCAGAAUGCUCACC